Molecule: long non-coding RNA, 14825 nt
Filed under: Homo sapiens (human)
Lineage: Eukaryota; Metazoa; Chordata; Mammalia; Primates; Hominidae
Description: non-protein coding RNF139-AS1:12
Source: RNAcentral
GCUUUCCGGCGUUGGAGUUGCAGCUUCACCCUCGCAGAUUCGGCUUAGCGAGCGAGUCGGUGCUUCCGCGGAUCAAAAUUAUUAGCCGUUUUAUUAGAGCCCAUUAAACGUUGCAUAAACAUGGUUCAGAGCUGCCUGGGAGAAGAAAAGCCAAAGGAUGCCACCCUCUCGAUUUAUCCCACCCUCGGGAGUCUGAAAGCCGACGCCAGGAGAAAUCCCGCGAAGGCCGCCCGGGAUCCUGGUAGAGGCGACGCUGUGUGCGUUUAUGGAGCGCUUGCGGUGCGUGGCACUAGGCUGGGUGUGGUGGGUGCUGCCGAAAAAAGGGUUCCUCCCAUCCAUUUGCACGUCACCCUUCCCACCUCCUGCCCAGAUGGACAGAAGUGAGGACAUUCAUCGGCCGCAUUUUACUAAUGGCAAGGAGAUAGCGACUGAAGGGCAAGAACCUAGGGUUUCCUGUCUUUGAUAUUUCUCAUCUUUGAGAGAAGCCAGUAUUUGGAGAUGUUUACCCUGCUGUUUUGGAAGUUGUCCACUUUACUUGAUAUUGGGACAUAUCAAGAGACCACUAUAUGGUCUUGAGUGUAAACUACAGUUCUGGAAGCCUAAAAUCAAGAUAUCAACUGGACUGUUUUUCCUGAAGUCUUCAAGAAAAAGUCUGUUUCCUUGCCUUUUUCAAUUUCUAGAGGCUACCUACAUUUCUUGGCUCAUGGCCCCUUACUCAUAUCACCCCAUCCUCCUGCUUAAGUCAUUGCAUCUACUAGGCAAAUCUGCCUCUCUCUUGUAAGAAUCUUUAUGAUUAUAUUGGGCCUAUUGGAUAGUCCAGGAUAAUCUCUGUAUCUUGAGAUCAUUAACUUAGUCAUAUCCACAAAGUCUCUUUUAUCUUGAAGGUAAAAUAUUCAUAGAAUCCAGGAUUAGGAUCUGAACAUAUUUGGGGGCCAUUAUUCAGCCUACUACACAGUAGGAAUUCUAUUUAUAUCCUUUCAUUCCCAAACAUGCAUGUUAUGUAUAUAUGAGACACAGCACCAUAAAAUGAGUGUUGAUUUAGAGUAUAUACUGUACCCUGGUGGACAAGGUCAUUCCAUUUUCACAGGCUAUUAUCUUCAAGCUUUUGCUUCAGUUUCACCUUCAAAAGGGUUUUUCAUCAUUCCAUCAGACCCGCAUUUUCUCGGUUAUAUAGUAUGUGAUAGGACUAGUGGAUCUCAUGGUUAUGUACCUGCUGAUACACCUCCUUUGCUGUAAAGUGCAUCCCUAAAUCAAAGGCAAUAUUACACAGGAUACAUGUUGAUGGAUCAAAUACCUGUAAACCUGUGAGUAGUAGAGCUGGCCAACAACUUAUAGGCAAGGAAGUCAAACUCAUACAUGCAGAUGGGCAGUUUCUAGUCAAGGAGAAUCACUGCCCAUUCUAGGAUGGAAGGAAUCCAACAUAAAUCAAUUUGCUGCCCAAGUAGCUGUUUGGUAUCCUUGAGGGUUGGUGCUGUAUCAGGAACUUGGUGUUUAACACUGGGGAGUGGCUAUUUUGUUGUUGUUGUUGUUGUUGUUUUGUUUUGUUUGAGACGGAGUUUCACUGGUUGCCCAGGCUGGAGUGCCGUGGCGCCAUCUCGGCUCACUGCAACCUCUGCCUCCUGGGUUCAAGGGAUUCUCCUGCCUCAGCCUCGUGAGUAGCUGGGAUUACAGGCAUGCGCCACCACGGCCAGCUAAUUUUGUAUUUUUAGUAGAGACGGGGUUUCUCCAUGUUGGUCAGGCUGGUCUCAAACUCCAGACCUCAGGUGAUCCGCCCACCUCAGCCUCCCAAAGUGCUGGGAUUACAGACAGGAGCCACCGCGCCCAGCCUGGGGAGUGGCUAUUGGAUAAGUGGAGGCUAUCUAUUGGCUUCUUGCUCACUUGCAUUCCUGCAAGAUGACUACUUUGUCAUAAGCCCCCUGUGCCAUUCCUGGGGGCGGAGGGAGGGGGCGGUGGAGCCGAUGGUUGUAGCUGCUGAAGUUUACUGGCUAAAUCUGUCUACUUGGUUAUUUAAUGCUGCUUACAUGUUGGAUUGUCUCUGGCAGAUAAAGAUUGUGUUAUACAAUACAAAAAGCCCUCCUUAUGUGCCAUAUCUGAUAUAUUUCUCCUCUGCUUCUCCAGACUUCUUGUCCCUGAUAUACCAGUCUUAUUCCAGACCCCUGAUCAACUAGCCAACUUAUUUGCCAUGAAAAUAUGUUCUUAGUUCAAGACACUUUCUUUCCACACACAGUUGAUGACCAGGAAUACUGCCCCACAUUAUGCCUUUUGGGAGGGUUCUCCUUACUGCUGUCUUUUAAGGCCAGUCCUGUGUGGGGCUGUAGGGCAGUAGCAGUCCAUUUUUGUUUUGAACCUAUAUUCCAAGAAACCUCAGUGAAUUCAGCUCAGGCUUUUUUGUCCUCCAUAAGCUAGACAUGAGAGCCUCCCAAGUGGCCAUAAUUGUGAGCUGAGGAAGGGACAUUGGUAAAGAAUCAGAUAUGACAUGGGAGCCUGACCACCUGCCUUUGCCCAGCUCAUGAUGGGCCUCUCUGGCUACAUGGUCACUUGAUGUCCAUAAUCAGUUCUUACCAAGGCACAUUAGCAUGGAUAGAGUUGUUUUUGGGAUUUUGCACUGCAGAUGGCCCAGCCUUGCCACAGAAUGCCAGGAGUCGACCUUGUGAUUCUCCCAUUGGAGCUUGCCUUCAACUUUCAUGGCUUCUUAUCACAUUUACUCUUGUCCCAUAGAAUAUCCUGAAUUGGUCCAUGCAACAGGGCUAAAUACACCAUACCUGCUAGAGAACUUUUACAUGCUAUGGAUCCCACUGAAAACUGGCAGAUUUCUAUCUCACCCAGUUUACGAGUCAGAACAGUACUGCCAACUUCUGAAUUCCCACAGAAGCCUACACAGCUUGGUGUGCUUCCCUGGUGGCAGAAUAAUUUUGGUGAAAUGAGUGGGUGAGAUGCAAUAAUUUGUCCUUUACUGUGAAGGGGAUAUCUUGGCAUUCAAGCAGCCUACUGGGCCCUAAAAGUUUCACUGAGGUAACAGCUUGCUGGGUCUUAAGGAUUAUUUCCCAUCCUCCAGUGUACAGUAUGCUAGCUGCUUAUUAUUCACCUUAUCCAGCUAGCAUGAUGUCAUCAAUGUGGUAGGUCAUUGUGACAUUAUGUGGGAUGUUUAGAUGGUCUAGAUCUCUUCGGAUUAUGACGCAGUGUGGAAGAGUUAACAUAACCCUAAGCCAAUACUAUAAAUGGGUACUGCUGUCCUAUAUAAACACAAACUUAAUUCUUGUCCAGCACUCUCAGGACCCAGUUCCAUACACAUGCUCAUGGUUCCUGUUGGUACAUGUUGGUUAGAUCCUGCAUCUCUUUGGUCAUAUAAGCCCAUUUGGAAUUGAAAGUAGACACACAGAAUGAGGGCAAAACACCUGCAGAACAGCUGCUUCAUCAUGGUGGGCUUUUUUCAUAUUAGGUUUUGUUACCUUUGAGUUUUUAAAUUAUGUGUAAAGCUUCGAUUAAAAAAAUAAAAAUUAUUAAAAAGAAACUGAGACAGUCUAUCCACCUAUCUCUAUUUACCCAGUGCUGUUGUUGUGUUACAUAAAAUUCAAUUUUAGCUUCAUGUUCAUGCAAUAUUUUCGUUUACCCUUGAUUCAACCUUGACCUUUAAAAAGCCAAAAAGACAAAUACCUAUUUUGACACUGGUUCUGAUCUCUCUGAAAUUCUGUGUGACCAAUGGUCAAGUAACCUUGCAGGUUAUUUAUCAUGUCUAAUCUGAAAAAAGUCAUUGUAUUUACUAAUAUUUUAAUAUUCACCUUAUAGGUAAGCAUUCUAAACAUGAUUGUGGCAAGAAAUUCUUAUAUGCUUUACAUGUUGAAAUUCUGUGUCAAAUGAAGUACAUAUGUAUAUUAUUGCAAGAGUGAAUUUCUUCAGUAAUGAUUGUGACAGCUAGUAAAUUUAAGUAGAAAGUAAUUAUAAACUUCCAAAUACUUUUUUUAAAUGGGCAAAAUAUAUGAAACAAUGGCCCUGAAGGCAUUGGACAUAGGCAGUGAAGGAUAGUAAUCCAUGAGAGAUGGAAUGCAAACAAGGUGAGCAAUACAAUUGCUCCAACUUGCUGCCUGAAGAAAGGCUUUGGCAUGGGGAGAGGGAACCCAGAAGACUCUGUGAGGUGAGGAGAUAUAAGUGGGAGUCCUGAGAGCCCAAGGCAACUAGAGUUCACAGGGUAGAAUACUAGAGAGGACAGAGUGACACAGAGAGAACUCCAGAGAUCUGCUGACCAUUCUCCUGAAGUAUUAAGCUAAAUAAUGAUUAGUACAUGCAUGAGAGGAAAUAACCAAAGGCUUGGCAAAGAACCAUCAGAAAGGAUUAAAGAAAACAAUACUCAAAGCUCACACAGGAUGGUGAAUGAUUCCUGAUCCCGUCAGCAAGAGUGGAAAAGAUCCUAAUUCACAAGGCACCAGUUAGAGUACUAAGAAAGGUCUUGCUUCAAUAGCGGGAAAAAUUAACCCUCGACUAAAUGCUCUAGAAUAACCUAACAAAGCUUAAAAGAGAGACCCAAAAACAUUCAAACUGUGUCCAAAUAACUUAAUCAUACUCCAGAAGAAAGUUCAAACUGUUUUAGGGAUAUGAAAAUAAUCUACAAAGUAAAAUUCACAAUGGCUGGCAUCCAAUCAAAAAUUACCAGGCAUGCAACAGAAAAAUACAACCCAUAAUAAGAAAAAUAAAACAUUCUGGGCUAGGUGCAGUGGCUCACACCUGUAAUCCCAGCACUUUGGGAGGCCAAGGUAGGUGGAUGACCUGAGGUCAGGAGUUCAAGACCAGCCUGGCCAACAUGGCGAAACCCCGUCUCUACUAAAAAUACAAAAAUUAGCAGGGAGUGGUGGUGCUCACCUGUAGUCCCAGCUAUUCAGGAGGCUAAGGCAGGAGAAUUGCUUGAACCCAGGAGGCAGAGGUUGCAGUGAGAUUGUGCCAAUGCACUCCAGCCUGGGCAACAGAGCAAGACUCCAUCUCAAAACAAACAAAAAAUAAAACAUUCUGUCAAAACUGACUCAGAAAUUACAGAUGAUGAAGAUUAUUAGACAAGGACAUUAAAACAGUUAUUAUAAUUAUAUUCCAUGUAUUCAAGAAACCAGAGGAAAGACUGAAGAUAUUACAGACAAUGAAGGUAUAAAAAGACCCGUAUCAAACUUCUAGAGAUGAAAACUCCAAUGUCUGAGAUGAAAAAUAUGUUAGAUGAGAUUAAUGGCAGAUUAGAUAUUGCAGAAAGAAAGAUCAGUGAACUUGAAGAUGCAGCAGUAGAACCUCCCUGAAACAGAGAGAAAAAAGAAUAAAAUGAGACACACACCUCCUACCAAAAUAAAUAGAGCAUCAGUAAAGGGUGGGACAACUUCAGGCAGCCAAAUGCAUGUGUAUAAUUGCAGUCCUUGAAGGAGAAGAGUGGGGAGCAAAAAAUGGUGGUGGUCUAGUCCAAAGUAAGUAGAAAAAAAAGAAAUAGAGCAGAAAUCAAAAGGUGGGCCGGGCACGGUGGCUCAUGGCUGUAAUCCCAGCACUCUGGGAGGCAGAGGAGAGUGGAUCACGAGGUCAGGAGUUCAAGACCAGCCUAGCCAAGAUGGUGAAACCCCGUCUCUACUAAAAAUACAAAAAAUUAGCUGGGCUUGGGGGUGGGUACCUGUAAUUCCAGCUACUCGGGAGGCUGAGGCAGGAGAAUCACUUGAACCCAGGAAGCGGAGGUUGCAGUGAGCUGAGAUCGCGCCACUGUACUCCAGCCUGGGCGCCAGAACAAGACUCCAUCUCAAAAAGAAAAAAAAGAAAGAAAGAAAAAGUAGAAAUACAAUAGAGAAAAAUCAAUGAAACCAAAAGCUAAUUCUUUGAGAAGCUAAGUUUGAUAAAGCUCUAGGCCGACUGAUCAGGAAAAGAGAGGACAAAUUAUCAGUAUCAGUAAUGAGAGGUGAUAACACUACAGAUUUUACAGUUGUUAAAAGGAACAUUUUGAACACUUUGUAUCAGUAUAUUUGGCAAAUUAGAUAAAACAGAAAAAUUCCUUGAAGAUGCAAACUACUAAAGCUCAGCCAAGAAAUAGAUACCCUAAAAAACUCUUUCAGAGAAACUGAAUUUGUAGUUACAAAUCUUCCCAUAAAGAAAAAAAUCCAGGUCCAAAUAGCUUCAUUGGGGAUUUCUAACAAACAUUAAGGAAGUAAUAAUAAUUGUACAUAAACUUUUCCAGAAAAUGGAAGAAUGCAUCCCAACUGAGUCAACUAAUUCUAUGAGCCAGCAUUUUUCCCAUGAACGUAAACGAAAAAUUUAUUGACUAUGAAUUAUGUAUACAAAGCCAACUCCUUGUACAAUCCCAUGUCACCACAGUUGUUGGAAAUGAGGGUGGGCAGAUGAAGGAAUAUUAGGGGUUAGUGUAUGUGUUGAGUAUAUUUUUAAAUGUUUUAGAAUACUAGGAUUUUGAUAAACUGAAUUUGCAAGACAUCACAUAUUUAACCAUGUCACAUUUUUGCUUAGACCCUUCAAUGACAUCCCAUUGCUGCUGGGAUGGUGUUCUUAAUAUAGCCUACAUUGCCCCCUGCCUGAUCUGACCAUCACUUAACUCUGCAGCCUAAUUAACAUUCCUUCACCCCUUACUCUUUCCUCUCCAUCCACCCUACCCUUCAUUUUGGCCCCUCAAAUUCCUCCACAUGGCACUUGCACACACUGUCAGAGCCUGGAAAGCUGUUCCCCAUUUUAGCCACUCAUUAAUUCCUACUCACCAUUCAGCUCGCAGCUAAGUCAUCAAAUUCUCAGGGAAGACUGCCCUGACCUUUCUGACCAGGCCAACCCGUCAUAGGUUCCAAUUGCACCCCGAGAACCUCUCCUCACAGCAUUUACUAGAAUGCAAGUUGUUACAUGAAAUGUUGUAUGUGGUGUGUGAUUAUUGGAUAAAUGCCUAUCCCUCUCAUUAGAGUAUAAGGUCCAUGGAGUCUGGGAUUGAGUCUUGUUUUGUUGGCUAUUUUACUCCCAGUGGUUGCCACAGUGUCUGGCACAUGAUUGGGGCCCAAAAACAUUUAUGAAAGGGCAAGAAGAGACAGAAGGGAAAAGAGACAAAACAACACUCCAGCCUGUGGUCUAGUAACUAAGCUUCUGUGCUUUUAUGGCUACAGCCUGAGUUAGAUUCCUGUUCAGGGAACGAAUCCCAUUAUUGAGUAUCUAUCACUUUGAUUAAAAAAAAAAAAAAAAGACCAAACGCAGUCCUUGGAGUCAUGGAUAAAUUAAUUUCAAGGCUGAAUGAAGUUUUUAUUUCACUGGAUGGAAGCAUUAACCGAUGAAACACCUGAAAAAAAGAACUGAUUUCAAGAUGCCCUGUUUUGGGUGGUAUGAGCUCUGUGAGCAUUCCCACUCAGUUUUUAUUUACUCACUUCUAUUAUAUAUGUCUAAUUUAUUUGGUUAAUCUAGUACUCAGAAUAUCAGGUAGAAAUAUUUCUUGCCUGUAAGUUAAAAAAAAAUUCGCACAGUGACUUAAAUAGACUUGGGGGUGGGAUUGCAGGUUAUUUUAUUUUUUUAUUUUUUCACAUGACAAGUGCAGAGAUAGACAUUUCAGGGCUGUGUAGCUGAUCAAAGAUCCCCUUAAGAAAUCAGUCCUACAAUGCUGCUCUGCCAGUCUUAGCAUGCUUGGAGAGAUGGCUGCUACAUCUCCAGGGUCAGAGACCCAAAGCCCUCCCCGGGGACCUCUGCCUGCAGCUCCUUGCCAGAACUGGUUCACAUGGUCACUAUCUGUGCAAGAGAGGCUGGGAAAUUUAGUACUUGAGUUUUCCAGCUUCUCCUUUUUAAGAGAAAGGGGAAUUGGGAUGGAUACUGUGAGUCAAUUCUGGGCCCCAGUGAAAAGGUUCUUGGGAACAACUUGGAGAAUCUGGAGAAGGGCCUAUAGGAAACACACAAUGGUAACUGUAAGAUUCAAAAGAAAGUUUCAAUGAGACAAAUAGCUUAUCUUGGAGAAGAGGUUAAGGGGCCCUCACUUCCUCUGCCUUUACAUAGUUGAUUCUAUUCAAAAUUCAGCUCUAGGACAGGCACCAUGGCUCAUGCCUGUGAUCCCAGCACUUUGGGAGGCUGAGGUUAGAGGAUCACUUGAGCCCUAGAGUUCGAGACCAGCCUGGGCAACAUAGUGAGACCCUCUAUCUAUAAAAAAAAUUAAAAAUUAUGGGUGGGCACAGUGGCUCACACCUGUAUUCCCAGCACUUUGGGAGGCUGAGGUGGGUGGAUCUCUUGAGGUCAGGAGUUCAAGACCAGCCUGGCCAACAUGGUGAAACCCUGUCUCCACUAAAAACAAAAAUUGGCUAGGCAUGGUGGUGCACACCUGUAAUCCCAGCUACUCGGGAGGGUGAGGCAGGAGAAUCACUUGAACUUGGGGGGGUGGGUGUGUGGGAGGUUGCUACUCAGGAGGCUGGGGCAGGAGGAUUGCAGUUCAGGAGGUCAAAGCUGCAAGUAAGUCUUUUGUUUGUUUGUUUGUUUGUUUGGUGGGGGACAGAGUCUCACUCUGUCACCCAGGCUACAAUGCAGUGGUGUGAUCUCCGCUUACUGCAACCUCCGCCUCCCGGGUUCAAGCGAUUCUCCUGCCUCAGCCUCCUGAGUAGCUGGGAUUACAGGUGUUUGCCACCAUGUCUCACUAAUUUUCGUAUGUUUUUUUUUUUUGGGGGACGGAGUCUUGCUCUGUCACCCAGGCUGGAGUGCAGUGGUGUGAUACUGGCUCACUGCAAUCUCUGCCUCCUGGGUUCAAGCGAUUCUCUUGCCGCAGCCUCCCGAGUAGCUGGGACUACAGGUGCCCACCACCACCCCUGGCUAAGUUUUGUAUUUUUAGUAGAGAUGGGGUUUCACCAUCUUGGCCAGGCUGGUCUGGAACUCCUGACCUUAUGAUCCACCCGCCUCAGCCUCCCAAAGUGCUGGGAUUACAGGCAUGAGCCACCGCACCUGGCCAAUUUUUGUACUUUUAUUAGAGACAGGAUUUCACCAUGUUGGCCAGGCUGGUCUCAAACUGCUGACCUCAGGUGUGAUUUGCCCACCUCAGCCUCCCAAAGUUUACAGGCGUGAGCUGGGAUUACAGGUGUGAGCCACUGCACCCAGCCUGCAGUGAACCUUGAUUGCGCCACUGCAUUCCAGCCUGGGCAACAAAGCAAGACCCUAAAAAUAAUAAAAUGCAGCUCUGGUGUUCCUUCCUGUAGGAAGUGUUUCCAAGUUCUUUGCUUUUUUUUUUUUAACAGCUUUAUUGAGAUAUAAUUCACAUACUAUAAAAUUCACCCUUUUAGUAUAUAUGUUGCUGAAGCAAGUAGGGAAAUUCACCCUUUAAAAAUAUACAAUUAAAUGGCUGGUUCAUAUAUUAUAGAGUUGUGCAAUCAUCACCACCAUCUAUUUUCAGAACAUUUUCAUCUUCCCACAAAAUCAACCCAGUACCUAUUAGCAGUCAUUCUCCAUUCUCCACUCCCCCCAGCACCUGGGAACUUACUUUCUGUUUCUAUAGAUUUGCCUAUUCUGGCCAUUUCAUAUAAAUGGGACCAUACAAUAAAUGACCUUUUGCAACUGGAUUCUUUCACUCAGCAUAAUGUUUUCAAGGUUCAUCCAGAAACCAUGUAUCAGUACUGCAUUCCUUUUUACAGAUUCCAUUGUAUAUAUAUGACAUUUUGUUUAACCACUCAUCAGUUGAUGGACUUUGGGUUGUUUCCACAUUUUGUCUAUGAAUAAUGCUGCUACAAAUAUUCACGCACAAGCCUUUGUGUGGACAUAUGUUUGCAUUCUCUUGGGUAUAUAUACCUCUAUCACAUAUGUCUUAUUUAUUUGGUUAAUUCACUGCUGGGUAAUAUGCUAACCCUAUGUUCAACACUUUAAGGAACUGCCACAACUGUUUCCCAAGUGAACAGGGUUGGAUCUUUAUUUUAAACAUUUUAAAUGCUUGUAAUCAUUUUAAAUAAUAGUUGAGUUUGAAAAUGACUACUUUUACAGCUUGUGCAAUAUAAAGUGGCUGUACCCUGAGGCUGUUCAGAGUGAUAUAUAUUGGAUUUUGUCACAUGUAUGCCCAGGGUAGGAGAAAAUGAAAUUUAAAUUCUAUUUGUUUCUUACUAUUUUUAAUUUCUGUUCGUGUAUGGUUUUUCUGUUUUUGAGACAGAGUCUUGCUCUGUUGCCCAGGCUGGAGUGCAGUGGCACAAUCUCGGCUUACUGCAACCUCCACUUCCUGAGUUCAAGAGAUUCUCCUGCCUCAGCCUCCCAAGUAGCUGGAAUUAUAGAAGCCCACCACCACACCUGGCUUAUUUUUGUAUUUCUAGUAGAGACAGGGUUUUGCCAUGUUGGACAGGCUAGUCUCAAACUCCUGACCUCAGGUGAUCCACCUGCCACAGCCUCCCAAAGUGCUGGGAUCACAGGCAUAAGCCACCGCACCUGGCCUAUUUGUGUAUUUCAAAGGCACAUAUUGUACUCAUAUAUUACUGCACUCAUAUAAUUUUUUAAAUUACAAAGUUAAUAAAGCAGCUCAAGUUUGAGGGAGUUUUUAAAAAUUACUAUUUUUUAAAAAUCACAAUAUCUCUAUCAGGUGGCUGCAUUGACUGGCAACUAAUACUGAAGCUUGCAUGGGAAGCCUUUAGAGCUUAUACAAAUUGCUGGACUGAGAUGACAAGGACCCCAUGAGCCUCCCGAACCCUUCAGUCUUUUUUCAUUGGUUCCAUAAGAUGCCUCUUCCCAACCAGGGCAAUCCAGCAAGUCCUCAAAGAAAACUAAAAUGUAAAUGAACAUGCUUAAGUAGAGAAAAAGCUUAAGGGAGGCUUCUGUUCUUCCAUCCACACAUUAACUCCUGCUCAUUCUUUAACACUCCCUUAGGCAUCCCUGCUCCUACCUUCCUAGUCACCCUGUUCAAUCCUCAACCCACAUCCUCAAAUGAGGGUGGCUGCCUCUCCUAUGUGUGCCCAUAAAAACCCUUAUUUCUAUCUAAGCACUCAGUAAACAGCACUGACAUUGUUUUCUCUGUAUCUGUGUCACCAGAUAGUGAUCCCAUUGUGGGCAGGACUCAGUUUUAUUCAUCUCUAUGUCACUGGCUCCAAGCACAGCGCUUAAUGGAGAGAGUACACAGUAUCUCCUAAUUAAUCAGUGAAUGGCUUUUCAAAAUAAUGACAUUCUGCCUCAAGUAGGCCAGACAUACAGCAACCCCUCACAGCCAAAUUGGAAAGUGGUGGUUCAUCAUAUACAAAGACUGACUGAUAGAAUGAAGUGUGAAAGGAAAAUAAAAUGUCAGACCCCAGGCCGGGCGCAGUGGCUCACACCUGUAAUCCUAGCACUUUGGGAGGCUGAGGUGGGUGGAUCACCUGAGGUCGGGAGUUCGAGACCAGCCUGACUAUGGAGAAACCCUGUCUCUACUAAAAAUACAAAAAUUAGCCGGGCGUGGUGGCACAUGCCUACAAUCCCAGCUAAUCGGGAGGCUGAGGCAGGAGAAUCGCUUGAACCUGGGAGGCGGAGGUUGUGGUGAGCUGAGAUCGUGCCAUUGCACUCCAGCCUGGGCAACAAGAGCGAAACUCCAUCUCAAACAAACAAACAAACAAACAAACAAGUCAGACCCCAAACUUACUAUGCCAAAGGGAAAAGUGAAGCCUGGAAACUCAGUCAUGCAAAAAAACUGCCUUUCCUUUUGCCUAAACACAGCCGCAAGAUAGAAGAUUCCAUAUCUCCUCAGUUGGCCUCCCUUACCUUGACAAUGUAAACAGCUUAUCUUCACAGAUACAGCACAAAGUCAAGACUAGAAACCAUCCCUCUGCCCACCUCAGACAUAUGCAUAUUUACUGAGUCCUGACAAAUGCUUAAUUGACUGUUCCUCUACCCCACUUCACAUGUAACAUGUGGAUUCAGUGAGCACUAAUCAAAGCCUCACAAGAAUGUGACCACUUAACUCACUACCUACACUCCUUUUUGUUUUUUUCCUCUACCCCUACUCCUCCUACCCUCACUUUCCCCUUUAAAUACUGAAGCCCUCAAAAUCCUCUUUGGAAAAAUGUGUGGGCCACAGAUCCUACUGUGACUUGUGUCUUUUUCCCAUGUGUGUCCUCAACCUUGGCAAAAUAAGCCUCUAAACUGAUUGAGACCUGUCUCAGAUACUUUUUAUUUUACAAAAGUAUUCACCACUCAGUGAGUCACGAUGAUGACAGCUUAACAUAUAUUCAUUUAAACCUAAGAACUACCCUACAGGAUAUGUACAAUUGUUAACCCUAAUGUACAGAUAAGGAAACUAAAUCUUGAGAGAUUCAUAACUUGCCUGAGGUCACCCAGAAAGUAGAGGAGUCAGGAGUUGAAUGAGUGGAAUCUAAAUUCUAAGAGGCAUUUGGGAGGCCGAGGCGGGUGGAUCCCUUGAUGUCAGGAGUUCAAGACCAGCCUGGCCAACAUGGUGAAACCCUCUCUACCAAAAAUACAAAAAUUAGCCGGGCAUGGUGGCAGAUGCCUGUAAUCCCAGCUACUCAGGAGGCUGAGACAGGAGAAUUGCUUGAACCUGGGAGGCGGAGGUUGCAGUGAGCUGAGAUCGCUCCACUGCACUCCAGCCUGGGCGACAGAGCGAGACUCCAUCUCCAAAAAAUAAAAACAAAUAAAUUAUAUGAAGGCAGAGCCAUGUCAGUCUUACAUCACUGCACACACAGGGCCCAUAUAUAUAUGUAUAUAUUUAUUUAUUUAUAUAUUUAUAUAUGAAUAUAUAUAUUAUAUAUGAAUAUAUAUAUUAUAUAUGAAUAUAUAUUAUAUAUGAAUAUAUAUAUAUUAUAUAUGAUAUAUAUAUUAUAUGAAUAUAUAUAUAAUAUAUAUAUGAGAGAGGGAGAGUGCAAGCAUGCAGGAGUCCAACAACUGUUGGUCGAAUGAGUUCAACUGGCCACACCUGACAUCAGCUGUCUAUCCAGAGCUUGUGGCAAAAAGGCAAAUCCUCAGUCCCCAGACUGACUCUCUGGCUCCUCUUCCUCAUUGUUUCUCCUUGUUCCCUUCCCAUAUUGGCUCAACCUCCAGGUUGGUAUCUUUAUAGUUUGAGGACAGCAAGCCAUGGACACACAAGUGAGGAAAAACCCACUAUGUAAAAGAGGAGAUGACUGGCUGGGCAUGGUGGCUCAUGCCUGUAAUCUCAGCACUUUGGGAGGAUGAGGCGGGCAGAUCACAAGGUCAGGAGAUUGAGACAAUCCUGGCUAAUUCGGUGAAACCCGUCUCUACUAAAAAUACAAAAAAUUAGCCAGGCGUGGUGACACACACCUGUAGUCCCAGCUACUUGGGAGGCUCAGGCAGGAGAAUCGCUUGAACCCAGGAGGCAGAGGUUUCAGUGAGCCGAGAUUGUGCCACUGCACUCCAGCCUGGGUGACAGAGUGAGACUCUAUCUCAAACAAAAAAAAAAAAAAAAAGGAGGAGAUGAUUAAGGUAACACAGGAAGACCGCUCUGUGAGAUGGGAAUGGAAAUAAGCAGGCUGUUUGUUUUUGUGGUGGGAUCACAUGCUGGCUAACAUCUCCCUAGGGGAUUACUGUGUACAAGACACAGUGCUUUUUUAAUCCUUACAACAACCCCCAUCUUCAACACAUCUCUCACUGCUUCCUCUGUUCCAAACUUAUCUAAUAACAACAUACCAUUUUCUGAGGAUUCAAACUUUUGCAUCUGUUAUUCUCUUCUACUAGUGCCUGUUUCUACCCGCAACCUACCCAUCAAAAUCUUACCCAGUUUUCAUGAGCCAAUUCAAACACUACCUCUGAAGACUUCACUAUUCAGUUCUGAGAACUCCUUUCCCACCUUUUCAUUCCUACAACGUGCUAUCACUCACAUGGCACUCAUCUUACUGCAUUCCAAGUCUUUCUUUGAGUACUUGUGUUAUUUCUGCUGCUAGAUUGUGGGUUUCUCAGAGACAGGAACUCUAUCUAAUGGAUCGUUAUGUUUCCUGUGGCUUUUGUAUAUAAUAGGCACUUAAUAUUUGUUGGAUAACACAAACAGCACCAACCUGUCCUUACUGCUACUGUUGCAAGAGAAGGAUGAGUAGCCAUGCCCAAAUCCAGCCAGCCAAAUGUCAGGUACAAUCAUACAAGGCCACACUUUUCUAUAUUUCCUUCACCUAGCAAACCAGCCUAGAUAGCUUCAAAAUACACCAGAACAAAGCUCUGAGUGGUAAUCAACAAUUAGUCAUCUUGGGUCAUGCGUGGUGGCUAACACCUGUAAUCCCAGCACUUUGGGAGGUCGAGGUGGGCAGAUCACUUGAGGUCAGGAGUUCCAAAACAGCUUGGCCAACAUGGUGAAACCCCAUCUCUACUAAAAAUACAAAAAUUACCUGGGCAUGGUGCUGCACACCUGUAAUCCCAGCUACUUGAGAGUCUGAGGCUUGAGAAUCGCUUGAGCCUGGGAGGCAGAGGUUGCAGUGAGCCAAGAUGGUGCCACUGCACUCCAGCCUGGGUGACAGAGCAAGACUCUGUCUCAAAAAAACAAAAAAGCAAACAAACAAAACAACAAACAAUUAUUCACUCCAGUGGCAAACCAUCUUUUAUGGCAGACAGCCAUAAAAUAAGGUGAGGCUGGAAAUGCUCUGCAGAAUAUCUCACAUUCCCUAUAGCUUCUUAGGUUGUCCCUCCUGUUCUCAGCCACGGUAGGAAGAUGAAGAGGGAGUAUGAGGCCUAUACGAAUCUAAGAUUUUAAUAGGAACUUUAAACUAAUAAGUAUUAAUUGGCAGCUAUUGCACAAGCUUGAGGCUAGAAAUCUAGAUUCCCUAUGAUUUAGAACAGUGAUUCGUCCUCAGCAGAUGAGCUUUAAAAAAAAAAAUAGACUGGUGAUUCUUAACCAUAUUUCUACCACAACAAACCAAAUUUAUAAGACAACCCCUCACAAUCAUUUAGGAAUGCCACAGUAAGGGAAU